RNAcentral lists this ribosomal RNA (858 nucleotides) under uncultured bacterium. RNAcentral describes it as "bacterial SSU rRNA". It matches the Rfam family "Bacterial small subunit ribosomal RNA", at positions 524 to 1381 of the family's 1533-position model. The record is from RNAcentral.
UACGUAGGGUGCGAGCGUUAAUCGGAAUUACUGGGCGUAAAGCGUGCGCAGGUGGUUUGUUAAGUCAGAUGUGAAAGCCCCGAGCUUAACUUGGGAACUGCGUUUGAAACUGGCAAGCUAGAGUCUGUCAGAGGGGGGUAGAAUUCCACGUGUAGCAGUGAAAUGCGUAGAGAUGUGGAGGAAUACCAAUGGCGAAGGCAGCCCCCUGGGAUAAGACUGACGCUCAUGCACGAAAGCGUGGGGAGCAAACAGGAUUAGAUACCCUGGUAGUCCACGCCCUAAACGAUGUCAACUGGUUGUUGGGCAACUUGAUUGUUCAGUAACGAAGCUAACGCGAGAAGUUGACCGCCUGGGGAGUACGGUCGCAAGAUUAAAACUCAAAGGAAUUGACGGGGACCCGCACAAGCGGUGGAUGAUGUGGAUUAAUUCGAUGCAACGCGAAAAACCUUACCUACCCUUGACAUGUACGGAAGUCUGCCGAGAGGUGGAUGUGCCUGAAAGGGAACCGUAACACAGGUGCUGCAUGGCUGUCGUCAGCUCGUGUCGUGAGAUGUUGGGUUAAGUCCCGCAACGAGCGCAACCCUUGCUAUUAAUUGCCAUCAUUAAGUUGGGCACUUUAAUAGGACUGCUGGUGAUAAACCGGAGGAAGGUGGGGAUGACGUCAAGUCCUCAUGGCCCUUAUGGGUAGGGCUUCACACGUCAUACAAUGGCCGGUACAGAGGGAUGCCAACCCGCGAGGGGGAGCCAAUCUCAGAAAGCCGGUCGUAGUCCGGACUGUUCUCUGCAACUCGAGAGCAUGAAGUCGGAAUCGCUAGUAAUCGCGGAUCAGCAUGUCGCGGUGAAUACGUUCCCGGGUCU